Triticum urartu is the source of this 197-nucleotide non-coding RNA. The record is from RefSeq and is a predicted model, not a curated record. NCBI's taxonomy places the organism in Eukaryota, Viridiplantae, Streptophyta, Magnoliopsida, Poales, Poaceae.
GGAAAAAACGGAAAGUGUCCAUUAAAUUGCGGCGUCCUGGAUGCGAAGAGAUUGUUGUUCAAGGGCCUUUGCCAAAGGAUUGGCAAGGUUUCUCAGUCAAGUUUGCCGAGUCCCUUAAAGCUUGCUAUGCAGAUAGGUCAUACUACGGCCCUCCGGAUUUCUUGUGCCAAUACUAUGGUGCCUCCUUUUGGUUUGCU